GGGGAUGUAGCUCAGUUGGUAGAGUGCUUGCCUUGCAUGCACAAGGCCCUGGGUUCAAACCCCAGCACCACCA
This 73-nucleotide transfer RNA is filed under the name Marmota marmota marmota (Alpine marmot). It matches the Rfam family "tRNA". Rfam says of the family: Transfer RNA (tRNA) molecules are approximately 80 nucleotides in length. Their secondary structure includes four short double-helical elements and three loops (D, anti-codon, and T loops). Lineage: Eukaryota; Metazoa; Chordata; Mammalia; Rodentia; Sciuridae. The record is from Rfam by way of RNAcentral. RNAcentral also lists the same sequence under 2 other names.